AUUGAACGCUGGCGGCAGGCUUAACACAUGCAAGUCGAGCGGAGAGAGGUAGCUUGCUACUGAUCUUAGCGGCGGACGGGUGAGUAAUGCUUAGGAAUCUGCCUAUUAGUGGGGGACAACAUUUCGAAAGGAAUGCUAAUACCGCAUACGUCCUACGGGAGAAAGCAGGGGAUCUUCGGACCUUGCGCUAAUAGAUGAGCCUAAGUCGGAUUAGCUAGUUGGUGGGGUAAAGGCCUACCAGGGCGACGAUCUGUAGCGGGUCUGAGAGGAUGGUCCGCCACACUGGGACUGAGACACGGCCCAGACUCCUACGGGAGGCAGCAGUGGGGAAUAUUGGACAAUGGGCGGAAGCCUGAUCCAGCCAUGCCGCGUGUGUGAAGAAGGCCUUAUGGUUGUAAAGCACUUUAAGCGAGGAGGAGGCUACUUUAGUUAAUACCUAGAGAUAGUGGACGUUACUCGCAGAAUAAGCACCGGCUAACUCUGUGCCAGCCGCCGCCGUAA
This 501-nucleotide ribosomal RNA is filed under the name uncultured bacterium. Its description in RNAcentral is "partial 16S ribosomal RNA". It matches the Rfam family "Bacterial small subunit ribosomal RNA", at positions 30 to 523 of the family's 1533-position model. The record is from RNAcentral.